Molecule: ribosomal RNA, 777 nt
Filed under: uncultured bacterium
Lineage: Bacteria
Description: bacterial SSU rRNA
Rfam family: Bacterial small subunit ribosomal RNA
Source: RNAcentral
AGGCGCGAAGGCGUGGGGGAGCAAACAGGAUUAGAUACCCUGGUAGUCCACGCUGUAAACGAUGAAUGUUAAAUAUGGGAAGUUUUACUUUCUGUAUUACAGCUAACGCGUUAAACAUUCCGCCUGGGGACUACGGUCGCAAGAUUAAAACUCAAAGGAAUUGACGGGGACCCGCACAAGCGGUGGAGCAUGUGGUUUAAUUCGAUGCAACGCGAAAAACCUUACCACUCCUUGACAUGGAAAUUAUACCUAUUCGAAGGGAUAGGGUCGGUUCGUCCGGGUUUCACACAGGUGUUGCAUGGCUGUCGUCAGCUCGUGUCGUGAGAUGUUGGGUUAAGUCCCGCAACGAGCGCAACCCUCAUCCUUAGUUACCAUCAGGUAAUGCUGGGGACUUUAAGGAAACUGCCAGUGAUAAACUGGAGGAAGGUGGGGAUGAUGUCAAGUCAUCAUGGCCCUUAUGGAGUGGGCUACACACGUGCUACAAUGGUGGCUACAAUGGGCUGCAAAGUCGCGAGGCUAAGCUAAUCCCUUAAAAGCCAUCUCAGUUCGGAUUGUACUCUGCAACUCGAGUGCAUGAAGUUGGAAUCGCUAGUAAUCGUGGAUCAGCACGCCACGGUGAAUACGUUCUCGGGUCUUGUACACACUGCCCGUCACGCCAUGGGAAUUGGUUUCACUCGAAGCUAACGACCUAACCGCAAGGAGGGAGUUAUUUAAAGUGGGAUCGGUGACUGGGGUGAAGUCGUAACAAGGUAGCAGUAGGGGAAUCUGCGGCUGGAU